Oncorhynchus keta (chum salmon) is the source of this 1130-nucleotide long non-coding RNA. RefSeq lists it as uncharacterized. Lineage: Eukaryota; Metazoa; Chordata; Actinopteri; Salmoniformes; Salmonidae. The transcript is spliced from 7 exons. The record is from RefSeq and is a predicted model, not a curated record.
UAGUGGUUAGAGUGUUGGAGGGUAUGUGGGGUGGCAGGUAGCCUAGUGGCUAGAGCGUUGGAGGGUAUGUGGGGUUGCAGUUAGCCUAGUGGCUAGAGCGUUGGAGGGUAUGUGGGGUGGCAGGUAGCUUAGUGGUUAGAGCGUUGGAGGGUAUGUGGGGUGGCAGGUAGCCUAGUGGCUAGAGCGUUGGAGGGUAUGUGGGGUUGCAGUUAGCCUAGUGGCUAGAGCGUUGGAGGGUAUGUGAGGUGGCAGGUAGCUUAGUGGUUAGAGCGUUGGAGGGUAUGUGGGGUGGCAGGUAGCCUAGUGGCUAGAGCGUUGGAGGGUAUGUGAGGUGGCAGUUAGCCUAGUGGCUAGAGCGUUGGAGGGUAUGUGGGGUGGCAGGUAGCCUAGUGGCUAGAGCGUUGGAGGGUAUGUGAGGUGGCAGGUAGCCUAGUGGCUAGAGCGUUGGAGGGUAUGUGGGGUGGCAGGUAGCUUAGUGGCUAGAGCGUUGGAGGGUAUGUGAGGUGGCAGGUAGCUUAGUGGCUAGAGCGUUGGAGGGUAUGUGAGGUGGCAGGUAGCUUAGUGGCUAGAGCGUUGGAGGGUAUGUGGGGUUGCAGUUAGCCUAGUGGCUAGAGCGUUGGAGCGUAUGUGGGGUGGCAGGUAGCCUAGUGGCUAGAGCGUUGGAGGGUAUGUGGGGUGGCAGGUAGCUUAGUGGCUAGAGCGUUGGAGGGUAUGUGGGGUGGCAGGUAGCUUAGUGGCUAGAGCAUUGGAGGGUAUGUGGGGUGGCAGGUAGCCUAGUGGCUAGAGCGUUGGAGGGUAUGUGGGGUGGCAGGUAGCUUAGUGGCUAGAGCGUUGGAGGGUAUGUGGGGUGGCAGGUAGCCUAGUGGCUAGAGCGUUGGAGGGUAUGUGGGGUGGCAGGUAGCCUAGUGGCUAGAGCGUUGGAGGGUACGUGGGGUGGCAGGUAGCUUAGUGGUUAGAGCGUUGGAGGGUAUGUGGGGUGGCAGGUAGCCUAGUGGCUAGAGCGUUGGAGGGUAUGUGAGGUGGCAGGUAGCCUAGUGGCUAGAGUGUUGGAGGGUAUGUGGGGUGGCAGGUAGCUUAGUGGUUAGAGCGUUGGAGGGUAUGUGGGGUGGCAGGUAGCUUAGUGGCUAAAG